This 497-nucleotide ribosomal RNA is filed under the name uncultured bacterium. RNAcentral describes it as "partial 16S ribosomal RNA". It matches the Rfam family "Bacterial small subunit ribosomal RNA", at positions 28 to 507 of the family's 1533-position model. The record is from RNAcentral.
GAUGAACGCUGGCGGCGUGCCUAAUACAUGCAAGUCGAGCGAACAGACGAGGAGCUUGCUCCUCUGACGUUAGCGGCGGACGGGUGAGUAACACGUGGAUAACCUACCUAUAAUACUGGGAUAACUUCGGGAAACCGGAUCUAAUACCGGAUAAUAUAUUGAACCGCAUGGUUCAAUAGUGAAAGACGGUUUUGCUGUCACUUAUAGAUGGAUCCGCGCCGCAUUAGCUAGUUGGUAAGGUAACGGCUUACCAAGGCAACGAUGCGUAGCCGACCUGAGAGGGUGAUCGGCCACACUGGAACUGAGACACGGUCCAGACUCCUACGGGAGGCAGCAGUCGGGAAUCUUCCGCAAUGGGCGAAAGCCUGACGGAGCAACGCCGCGUGAGUGAUGAAGGUCUUCGGAUCGUAAAACUCUGUUAUUAGGGAAGAACAAAUGUGUACGUAACUAUGCACGUCUUGACGGUACCUAAUCAGAAAGCCACGGCUAACUACGUG